Molecule: long non-coding RNA, 504 nt
Organism: Cynara cardunculus var. scolymus (artichoke)
Lineage: Eukaryota; Viridiplantae; Streptophyta; Magnoliopsida; Asterales; Asteraceae
Exons: 3
Source: RefSeq, a predicted model, not a curated record
AUUCAAGAUCACCAUACAUCGAUUCGCUCUCGAUCCAUGCUUCAAAUAUGACUAAGGUUCCAAUCCAGGUUGUUCAGGAAAGAAACAAAAGAAAGGCUUCUGGCUAUAUAUAUGAACCUUCACCUCUGAUCCCAUGCAAGCCAUCAAAAAUUCAAAAAGGACUGAUGAUAAGCUUUUAUAACACAGUACGCUCUAUCGGAUAAAAGUCAUCACCCUUACUUACCGUAAGUCUCUCGAUCCUUGUUUUUUUUCUUACUGGGUAAGAUUCUAAGUCCUACCCUUUUCUAAGCUAUAUAUUAUGUAGCGAUCUAAAAUCUAAAAUGCCAACUAUUAUGUCCUACCCUUUUCUAAGCUAUAUAUUAUGUAGCGAUCUAAAAUCUAAAAUGCCAACUAUUAUGUAUCGGUCUAAAUUCUAAAAUGCCAACUAUUAUUUUCUUGACAUAUUUUUUUGUAACUGCAGUGCCGUACAAUUGGUUUGAUCAAAUCAGAGUAUUCAACUUGUGC